CUCGUAAAUUACAUUGUAAUUUGAUGUGCACAAAUCUCAUCUGUGAAUGAUUUUUUGUUAUUUCAUCAAAAACAUCAGUCAAAAUUAUUAAAUUCAUUUGUUUUGAUAAUUUUUUAAUUAUUUUUGAGGUCAAAAAGGCGAAGUCUAAGUCACAAAGGAUGAAAGAAUACAGAGAAAGGAAAAGGCAUCUCUAGGAGAGCACCGGUUGAUACAAGAAAGUAAUAGAACCAGAGAAUAUUAUAAACCAACAAGUCAACUUAACAGUAAAGAGAAGAAGUUGACACCAGAUGUCCAUCAAACUGAGAUUGAAAUACAAAACAAUGAAGUACAAAAAAAAUAUAUCAACAGAAAGGGAAAUAUCUUUAAUCAAAUAAGGAUAGUGUCUUAUGUAGUAGCAAAAUAUGACAACAUCGUUUUGAAUGGGUAAAGUGUUAGAAAUAAUUGCACCUGAAAUGAAUAUAUAUUUCAUGCAUCGAGGGAAACUGGAAGUACAUUAAUUAUAGAUGGCCUAGCACAGAGGAUACUGUCUGGAUAGAUUCCACAAAGAUACUUUGCAGAGUUAAUGACCCUACUACGACAAGGAGAUCUAGGAGAGUUUUUGUCUUUCAAAUUAUUCAAAAAUUCAAGAUAUUGCUGAAUC
RNAcentral lists this long non-coding RNA (640 nucleotides) under Mytilus galloprovincialis (Mediterranean mussel). Lineage: Eukaryota; Metazoa; Mollusca; Bivalvia; Mytilida; Mytilidae. The record is from RNAcentral.